AGUGAACGCUGGCGGUAGGCCUAACACAUGCAAGUCGAACGGCAGCACAGUAAGAGCUUGCGCUUACGGGUGGCGAGUGGCGGACGGGGGAGGAAUACAUCGGAAGCUACUUUUUCGUGGGGGAGAACGUAGGGAAACUUACGCCAAUACCGCAUACGACCUACGGGUGAAAGCAUGGGAUCUUCGGACCUUGCGCGAUUGAAUGAGCCGAUGUCGGAUUAGCUAGUUGGCGGGGUAAAGGCCCACCAAGGCGACGAUCCGUAGCUGGUCUGAGAGGAUGAUCAGCCACACUGGAACUGAGACACGGUCCAGACUCCUACGGGAGGCAGCAGUGGGGAAUAUUGGACAAUGGGCGAAAGCCUGAUCCAGCCAUACCGCGUGGGUGAAGAAGGCCUUCGGGUUGUAAAGCCCUUUUGUUGGGAAAGAAAAGCAGUAGGUUAAUACCCCGCUGUUCUGACGGUACCAAAAGAAUAAGCACCGGCUAACUUCGUG
This 492-nucleotide ribosomal RNA is filed under the name uncultured bacterium. RNAcentral describes it as "partial 16S ribosomal RNA". It matches the Rfam family "Bacterial small subunit ribosomal RNA", at positions 29 to 507 of the family's 1533-position model. The record is from RNAcentral.